Molecule: unclassified non-coding RNA, 229 nt
Filed under: plant metagenome
Description: partial contains small subunit ribosomal RNA, internal transcribed spacer 1, and 5.8S ribosomal RNA
Source: RNAcentral
UCUCCGUAGGUGAACCUGCGGAGGGAUCAUUACAGAGUUCAUUCCCUACCGGGUAGAUCUCCCACCCUAUGUUAUUAUUACUUUGUUGCUUUGGCGGGCCGUUAGGCUCCGGCCCGACUACCGGCCCCGGCUGGUAAGCGCCCGCCAGAGGACCCAAAACCCUGAAUAUUAGUGUCGUCUGAGUACUAUAUGAUAGUUAAAACUUUCAACAACGGAUCUCUUGGUUCUG